This 2051-nucleotide long non-coding RNA is filed under the name Nicotiana benthamiana. RNAcentral describes it as "long non-coding RNA (NBEN_LNC020261)". Lineage: Eukaryota; Viridiplantae; Streptophyta; Magnoliopsida; Solanales; Solanaceae. The record is from RNAcentral.
UUUACAACAUUAUGUGGGUCAAUUAUGAGCCUGGACCAAUUUUCUUUGUACACAAGCCAAACUAACUAUGGAAAAAGGACAUUGAGCAUUAUUAAACCACUCAAAUAGAAAACUUAAUUGGAUAUUGUAUGCAUAAAUGAACACAAAUGUAAUGAACUACAGUGUGGUCUUAAAAUAGAAAUGAAAUUUCAUUUAGAAACUGUUAUAAUGCUCAUGACUUCACAUGUUUAACAGAGGCAGAAUUUUCGGGCAGAUUUCAACAAAUCUUAACUAAAUUUGAAUCAAAAACCACACUUGCAAAGAUUCAACAAGAUCCCAAUAACUCACAAAAAUAAUGUAAAUACACACUCUAUCUAUUCUUUCCAUAUUGUAACUCACUAAUGAAAUGGAGGUCUAUGCCGUAAACUUUAAACAGAAUCGAUAAAGAACGAUAGUCCAGGCUGGUUAAGUUAUGCUAAAAUAGUCGACAACUCAUUAUAGUCUAAAUUCAAACUCAAAAUAACCAUGGUACCAAUUUUAUCUACAGUAGAAUUUUCUGUCAGACACAACUAAACCAUCACUUAGUGUGCUCCCAAUAGUUUUCUGUCAGGAAAUAGAAAUGGUCUUACUUCUAAACUUGUAAGAAAUUAUAGGCAAUAAGAUACAAUCUUAAAGAAAUAAACCAAUGGGUACACAUGGGAUUCAAUCUGAAUCAUUCACAUCUUCGACAUUUAAAAUUGAUGCUCAAGGUUUCAGAGUAGUACCUGAAUACAAUAGUCAAUAACAAAUGAAAAUGAGGUUAGGAAUCAGCAGAAGUGAGAGGUUCAAUAACAGCAGCAAGUCAACACUUCGACACUUCAACUCAUAUCUUCCUUAGGCCAUUUUGAACCCAAAUCAACCAGAAAUCUUUCGAAAUCUUUUUUUAGUUACUACCAACAAUGAAAACAAAGGACAAUUUCCCUCAAAUAUAAACAAAAGAAAAAUGCAGAGCUUCUCUGUAUUUUUUAGAGUAUGAAUGGCUCCUCAAUAUGAAGAGAAAGAGAUCUUUAUAUAGGCAUGCCUAAGGCAGCCCUACCCUAGCUUACCAUUUCCCAUUUGGCCCCUUUAAUUCAAGAUCAUUUGACUCCUUUUAACCUUUUAAAAAUAUCUGAAAUCCCCUUCCCUUAACAAAACUGCUCUCAUCUUAUCCUCUAGAACUUUUCCCCAAUAGAAAACCAUUCCCUUAAACCCCAAAUGACCAAAAUGCCCCCUAACAUCCUUGUUUUUACGUUCACCAGACCAACCUGGGUGAAGUUAACCCAAAGUCCCAAACGAAUGUCUCUUACCCAGGUUAGCAAUAAACACAGUUAAUUCACAAAUCCAAACCAUCGCCAAUGAUUGAUCAAAGAAAAUCAAACUCAUAAAAAUAAAAACAAACAAUAAUUCAGAAUUUAUGAAUAAAGAUAAUUUAAACUACCAAAUAAGAUGGACUCUAUUAUUUAAAGUAAAAUAAUACAAAUAAAAAAAUGAAAUAAGUAGAAAUAGAAAUACAACAAUUAUCAAAAAUGAGGGGGAAAGAUAACGGAAAAUACCAAUUUACGUUGAAAUGUCUUGGAAAAUGACACAAUCGUCAAAUGUUGACGGAAAUAGACAUUUGGCCAAAAUUCGGCGAGCUCAUCACAAUCUGGUGACCUCGGAAUGAACUAAAUCCAACUCCAAUGGAUUGCUCAUGUCAAGGGCAAUUUACUGACGUAAGUUAUUGGUCAAAUCGAGCCAGAAUUCUAUGCAAAUUUAGAAAAUAGAAUAGUCUAGGGUUGAACUUCUUAGAUUUGGAACUGGGGACUUUCGUUGGGAUUUUUGAGAAAUAUAUGUGGGGAUAGGGUUUGAGAGAACCAAGGGGUGGCGUGGUACGAAUUUGAGGCAAUUGGAAGCUGUGCCACCACCGGAGCCAGUGAGGAUUUUUAACCGGCUCUAGGGUUUUGGGGGUCUAUGAAGAGGGGUGGGUUUGGGAGAGAUGAUGAAAAAAGGGGAGAUAACAUUUUUGGAUAUAUAAAUAUUGAGCCCGUCCCCACUGCCCGACCGUUCGAUCAAGG